GUUUUGCAUUAGGGGUGUCUGUUUCCCAGACUUAGAUACGGUUAGAUCCGUGGACCCUACGAACCUGUUAAGUUGACACUUGCGAAGGAAAAUGCACAUCUUGUUUA
Molecule: non-coding RNA, 107 nt
Filed under: Limosilactobacillus panis
Lineage: Bacteria; Bacillati; Bacillota; Bacilli; Lactobacillales; Lactobacillaceae
Also listed under: 1 other name
Description: Lactobacillus panis TPP sequence
Rfam family: TPP riboswitch aptamer (THI element)
About the family: Vitamin B(1) in its active form thiamin pyrophosphate (TPP) is an essential coenzyme that is synthesised by coupling of pyrimidine and thiazole moieties in bacteria. The previously detected thiamin-regulatory element, thi box was extended, resulting in a new, highly conserved RNA secondary structure, the THI element, which is widely distributed in eubacteria and also occurs in some archaea.
Source: RNAcentral